RNAcentral lists this ribosomal RNA (245 nucleotides) under uncultured bacterium. RNAcentral describes it as "partial small subunit ribosomal RNA". It matches the Rfam family "Bacterial small subunit ribosomal RNA", at positions 26 to 285 of the family's 1533-position model. The record is from RNAcentral.
AGAAUCAACGCUGGCGGCGCGCUUAACACAUGCAAGUCGAGCGAGAAAGUGGAGCAAUCCAUGAGUAAAGCGGCGUACGGGUGAGUAACACGUGGAUCAUCUACCUUUUAGUGGGGGAUAACUCCGGGAAACCGGAGCUAAUACCGCAUAAGCCUGUAAAGGGAAAGCAGCAAUGCGCUGAAAGAGGAGUCCGCGGCCGAUUAGCUAGUUGGUGAGGUAACGGCCCACCAAGGCGAUGAUCGGUA